GAUGAACGCUGGCGGCGUGCCUAAUACAUGCAAGUCGAGCGAACAGAUGAGGAGCUUGCUCCUCUGACGUUAGCGGCGGACGGGUGAGUAACACGUGGAUAACCUACCUAUAAGACUGGGAUAACUUCGGGAAACCGGAGCUAAUACCGGAUAAUAUAUUGAACCGCAUGGUUCAAUAGUGAAAGACGGUUUUGCUGUCACUUAUAGAUGGAUCCGCGCCGCAUUAGCUAGUUGGUAAGGUAACGGCUUACCAAGGCAACGAUGCGUAGCCGACCUGAGAGGGUGAUCGCGCACUCUGGAACUGAGCCACGGUCCAGACUCCUACGGGAGGCAGCAGUAGGGAAUCUUCGGAAAUGUGCGAAAGACUGACGGAGCAACGCCGCGUGAGUGAUGAAGGUCUUCGGAUCGUAAGACUCUGUUAUUAGGGAAGAACAAAUGUGUAAGUAACUAUGCACGUCUUGACGGUACCUAGUCAGAAAGCCACGGCUAACUACGUG
RNAcentral lists this ribosomal RNA (497 nucleotides) under uncultured bacterium. Its description in RNAcentral is "partial 16S ribosomal RNA". It matches the Rfam family "Bacterial small subunit ribosomal RNA", at positions 28 to 507 of the family's 1533-position model. The record is from RNAcentral.